AUACGAAGGGGGCUAGCGUUGUUCGGAAUUACUGGGCGUAAAGCGCGCGUAGGCGGACUGAUCAGUUGGGGGUGAAAUCCCAGGGCUUAACCCUGGAACUGCCUCCAAUACUGUCAGUCUUGAGUUCGGGAGAGGUGAGUGGAAUUCCUAGUGUAGAGGUGAAAUUCGUAGAUAUUAGGAAGAACACCAGUGGCGAAGGCGGCUCACUGGCCCGAUACUGACGCUGAGGUGCGAAAGCGUGGGGAGCAAACAGGAUUAGAAACCCUAGUAGUCC
RNAcentral lists this ribosomal RNA (274 nucleotides) under uncultured bacterium. Its description in RNAcentral is "partial 16S ribosomal RNA". It matches the Rfam family "Bacterial small subunit ribosomal RNA", at positions 523 to 796 of the family's 1533-position model. The record is from RNAcentral.